ACUCACUCCAUCCUGCCACCCUGCGAGGAAGGUGCCUGCUUCUUCUUUGCCUUCCGCCGUGAGUGUGAGUCUCCUGAGGCCUCCCCAGCAAUGUGGAACUGAUACGUCAUGGAACAGAGGGCAACCUGCCUCCUGGAAAUGUGGAGUGUCUAGGGAGUCACAGCUGAGAUCUUCCUUGGAUUAAAGGCUGCGGGUGUCACAAACAGAUUCAACUGGGUGAAAUAACUGUGAACUGGGCAUGUGAAGAGAAAGCUGAAAGCCAUGAUCUCAAGAUGGAAACUUCAGUAUCCAGCAAAGAAAUGGUGAAGGCGUUCGUUAUGUGGGAUAUGCUGUUACCACUGAACUUGAAGUUAUCAAAGAAGUUCUAUUCUUAACCCUUAAUCUGCUCAGGAUGCUGUAACAACACCAUAAACUUUCAAACAACUCUAUUUCCUACGGUUCUGGAGGCUGGAAGUCCACAAUCAAAGUGUCAUGUUGUCAGGUUGUGGUGAGGGCCCUCUUUUGGGUGUAGAUUGCUAACUUUUCUGUAUGUGUUCACAUGGCAGAAAGAGAUUGAGCUAGCUCUUGGAUCCUUUCUUAUAAGGGCACCAAUCCCAAUACAGAGGCUUCACUCUCAUGACAUAAUUGUCUCCCAAAGACUCUACCUCCAAAUAUUAUCAAUCACAUUAGGGGAUAGAUUUUAACACAUGAUUUUGGGGGGAACACAUUCAGUCCAUAACAUUUCUUGAGUCUUCUUCUAGGACCCAUAGGUUAUUUUAAAAGUGGCUUGUUCAGUUCCAAGUGUUUGAAGAUUUUUUUUUUCUGUUAUCUUUAACUUACUGAUUUCUAGAUAGACCCCAUUGUGCUCAGAGAACACUCCUUAUGUGAUUUCAAUUAUUUUAAAUUUGUUGAGAUUUUAUGACUUAGUAUGUCAUCUGUCUUGGUGUGUAUUCUGUGGGGGGGAUGGGGGGUGCUUGAAAAACGGGUAUUCUGCUAUUAUAGAAUGUCAAAAUAUCAACUGUAAUAAACAAGAAAAAUAAUCCUAGUCUUUUAUUUAAGGGCCCUCUUUAGUCCAUCUCAACAGACCCUUCUCCGAAGGGGAAAGAAAUGCAGCUCACAAGAGCCCAUUAAACAACUAAAACAAGACAAAAUAAAACAACUACCCCCUGCCAAUUUGCACACUGUUACUUCUUUUGUUUUCCCAAUCUUAUUUCUUCUUCUUUUUUAUAAUAAAAAAUUUCAAAGCAAU
RNAcentral lists this long non-coding RNA (1228 nucleotides) under Homo sapiens (human). RNAcentral's name for it is "uncharacterized LOC105373438, transcript variant 4 (LOC105373438)". Lineage: Eukaryota; Metazoa; Chordata; Mammalia; Primates; Hominidae. The record is from RNAcentral.